UGCACUCACUAUUGUAAGUCGCUUUGGAUAAGAGCAUCUGCUAAAUGACUAAAA
This is a non-coding RNA of Salmo salar (Atlantic salmon), 54 nucleotides long. NCBI's taxonomy places the organism in Eukaryota, Metazoa, Chordata, Actinopteri, Salmoniformes, Salmonidae. The record is from Rfam.